Gadus chalcogrammus (walleye pollock) is the source of this 281-nucleotide long non-coding RNA. RefSeq lists it as uncharacterized. The record is from RefSeq and is a predicted model, not a curated record. NCBI's taxonomy places the organism in Eukaryota, Metazoa, Chordata, Actinopteri, Gadiformes, Gadidae. The transcript is spliced from 3 exons.
AGUUAAGGGCGGCGGUGUAGUAAAGUAGGACCGCCUCCCGUCAUCUCUCCAUUACUGUGGUGUGGAGACUGGACGCGGAGGCUGAGCGCUGGACCCCCGGUAAUGCCCAGGUCUCCCAGGGACAAUGCGAGAAGUGGAACAUUCGGAGUAACACUAGUUUGACUCAAUCAGACCCAUCAAAGACCACGAGCCAAGAUGAGGAACAUCUGGACUCUGUCACUGCUGGCUCUGCUGGCUCAGGGGUGCCGGGGGGAGGACGUGUUUGUGGGGGGCACGACGGC